Molecule: ribosomal RNA, 568 nt
Filed under: Fusarium equiseti
Lineage: Eukaryota; Fungi; Ascomycota; Sordariomycetes; Hypocreales; Nectriaceae
Description: eukaryotic LSU rRNA
Rfam family: 5.8S ribosomal RNA (bases 208-361)
Source: RNAcentral
UUAGAGGAAGUAAAAGUCGUAACAAGGUCUCCGUUGGUGAACCAGCGGAGGGAUCAUUACCGAGUUUACAACUCCCAAACCCCUGUGAACAUACCUAUACGUUGCCUCGGCGGAUCAGCCCGCGCCCUGUAAAACGGGACGGCCCGCCCGAGGACCCUAAACUCUGUUUUUAGUGGAACUUCUGAGUAAAACAAACAAAUAAAUCAAAACUUUCAACAACGGAUCUCUUGGUUCUGGCAUCGAUGAAGAACGCAGCAAAAUGCGAUAAGUAAUGUGAAUUGCAGAAUUCAGUGAAUCAUCGAAUCUUUGAACGCACAUUGCGCCCGCCAGUAUUCUGGCGGGCAUGCCUGUUCGAGCGUCAUUUCAACCCUCAAGCUCAGCUUGGUGUUGGGACUCGCGGUAACCCGCGUUCCCCAAAUCGAUUGGCGGUCACGUCGAGCUUCCAUAGCGUAGUAAUCAUACACCUCGUUACUGGUAAUCGUCGCGGCCACGCCGUAAAACCCCAACUUCUGAAUGUUGACCUCGGAUCAGGUAGGAAUACCCGCUGAACUUAAGCAUAUCAAUAAGA